Molecule: ribosomal RNA, 480 nt
Filed under: Shigella sonnei
Lineage: Bacteria; Pseudomonadati; Pseudomonadota; Gammaproteobacteria; Enterobacterales; Enterobacteriaceae
Description: partial 23S ribosomal RNA
Rfam family: Bacterial large subunit ribosomal RNA
Source: RNAcentral
GACCCGAAACCCGGUGAUCUAGCCAUGGGCAGGUUGAAGGUUGGGUAACACUAACUGGAGGACCGAACCGACUAAUGUUGAAAAAUUAGCGGAUGACUUGUGGCUGGGGGUGAAAGGCCAAUCAAACCGGGAGAUAGCUGGUUCUCCCCGAAAGCUAUUUAGGUAGCGCCUCGUGAAUUCAUCUCCGGGGGUAGAGCACUGUUUCGGCAAGGGGGUCAUCCCGACUUACCAACCCGAUGCAAACUGCGAAUACCGGAGAAUGUUAUCACGGGAGACACACGGCGGGUGCUAACGUCCGUCGUGAAGAGGGAAACAACCCAGACCGCCAGCUAAGGUCCCAAAGUCAUGGUUAAGUGGGAAACGAUGUGGGAAGGCCCAGACAGCCAGGAUGUUGGCUUAGAAGCAGCCAUCAUUUAAAGAAAGCGUAAUAGCUCACUGGUCGAGUCGGCCUGCGCGGAAGAUGUAACGGGGCUAAACCAU